GACGAACGCUGGCGGCGUGCUUAACACAUGCAAGUCUACGAGAAUAAGGUAGCAAUAUCUUUAGUAAAGUGGCGCACGGGUGAGUAACACGUAAGUAACCUACCUUUAGAUUUGGAAUAACCCCGAGAAAUCGGGGCUAAUACCGAAUGAUGCAGCGGCACCACAUGGUGAUGUUGUUAAAGUCUAUAUGACGUCUAAAGAUGGGCUUGCGUCUGAUUAGCUUGUUGGUGAGGUAACGGCUCACCAAGGCUACGAUCAGUAGCUGGUCUGAGAGGAUGAUCAGCCACACUGGAACUGAGACACGGUCCAGACUCCUACGGGAGGCAGCAGUGAGGAAUAUUGGGCAAUGCCCGAAAGGGUGACCCAGCAACGCCGCGUGGAGGAUGAAUGCCGUAAGGUUGUAAACUCCUGUUAGAGGGGAAGAAAAAUCUCGAUCAAAUCGAGAACUGACUGUACCCUCAGAGAAAGCCCCGGCUAACUACGUGCCAGCAGCCGCCGUAACAC
Molecule: ribosomal RNA, 504 nt
Filed under: uncultured bacterium
Lineage: Bacteria
Description: bacterial SSU rRNA
Rfam family: Bacterial small subunit ribosomal RNA
Source: RNAcentral